CUCACAUUGGAAAAAUUGGAAAAAAUUGGAAAAACACAGAGAAUAUUAGCUAAUAGCCCCUGGGCAAAGGGUGACACACAAAUCUGUGAUGCAGUCCAUGUUAAU
Small nuclear RNA from Arvicola amphibius (Eurasian water vole), 105 nucleotides. The record is from RefSeq and is a predicted model, not a curated record. NCBI's taxonomy places the organism in Eukaryota, Metazoa, Chordata, Mammalia, Rodentia, Cricetidae.